This 401-nucleotide ribosomal RNA is filed under the name uncultured bacterium. Its description in RNAcentral is "bacterial SSU rRNA". It matches the Rfam family "Bacterial small subunit ribosomal RNA", at positions 90 to 513 of the family's 1533-position model. The record is from RNAcentral.
GGUUAGUGGCGAACGGGUGAGUAACACGUGAGUAACCUGCCCCCCUCUUUGGGAUAACUGAGAGAAAUUGUAGCUAAUACCGAAUAUUCACUGAUGGCCGCAUGGUUGUGGGUGGAAAGAUUUUUUGGUGGGGGAUGGGCUCGCGGCCUAUCCGCUUGUUGGUGGGGUGAUGGCCUACCAAGGCUUUGACGGGUACCCGGCCUGAGAGGGUGACCGGCCACACUGGGACUGAGAUACGGCCCAGACUCCUACGGGAGGCAGCCUGGGGAAUAUUGCACGUGGGCGAAAGCCUGAUGCACCACGCGCGUGCGUGAUGACGGUCUUCGCGUUGUCAACCGCUUUCCCCAAGGGCGAAUGGACACCUUCCUGGGGAAGAACCUCCUGCUAACUACCUGCCACCA